Long non-coding RNA from Dermochelys coriacea (leatherback sea turtle), 1823 nucleotides. RefSeq lists it as uncharacterized. NCBI's taxonomy places the organism in Eukaryota, Metazoa, Chordata, Testudines, Dermochelyidae. The record is from RefSeq and is a predicted model, not a curated record. The transcript is spliced from 2 exons.
UGGGAAGAGGCACUGAUCUGAACAGGUGACUGUUGGAGACAUGGGUAUCUGGAAUGGAGGGCCACCCUGCGAGUCAGAGUCUGAAGGCAAGAUAGCAGGUGAUGACCCCAGUGCAGUGGUGGGGAUUCAGUCAAGACCAUGCUGAGAGCAGCCACUCCUUACCUCUCUGUGACAUCAGUGACCUUCAUAUCCAGUGUGUGCUGGCUCUGGAACGGGGCAUCAUAUGAAAUGCCAUCCCUGUAGUCAGACAGUUGCAUGAUGGGAGUGCAAAAGCCAAGGAACGUUAAGAUGGAGGAGGAGGUCAUCCCAUCCAGAGCGAGGAAUCGGCCCCUCACAGCCACAGCCCGAUUUCCUCCAUAUCUCACUCGAAAGGACCUGGAUGUGCGCAUUUCACUGACAAACACAAUUUCUGCAGCAAUAAAAAGUCAUUGUGUAAAUUGUCAGCAUCUUCUCCUAGGAAGUGAGCAGCUGCUAGAUCGAUGGGACAAACUGCUUGAUCCGGGUCUACCUCUGGUGAGGAAACUACCCAAUAUACCACACUGACUUUGCAGUGGGGAAGCUUGGAGGGGAAGCCCUACCCAACCCUGGAGAAGUUACUCCUGGCAGCAAGAAACUGAAUCAGGAGUAAUCGUACCACAUAUCUCAGUGAUGUGCAGUCUAGAUGUACUGCCUCAGUCAGUACUCAUAUGGGAUGAACCCUGGGUAAGACAUGCUUCCUGUCCUCUCCCUCCUUAGGCAGGAUUGUAAACUAUGCAUUCUGCCUGACCUCCAUGUGAAAGCAGUUUAGAAUUGGCACUGACCCAGGGGAUCUUAUAGGAGUCUCUUGGGCAUUUCCCAGCGAUUUAUGGGAGUUUGAUCUCUCCUUCCAUAAUUCUCCAAGGCAACCAUGAAGUACCCCAACAAGACCUUUGAAAUCACCCACAAGGAACUGCUAGUGGGAGUUGUAUUGUGGGAUAAGUAGCCAGAAGGCAGUGCAGCUGAAAUGGUUUAGAGCAGCCCUGAUGUGGGUACACAGUGGAUGUGCAAGGAUUUUAAAAAUGAUUCAGCAUGGACACGGUAAGACACGUGGAUUCUGGUUCAAGAGUGGAUCUACCCCAGUAUUCUUGGCAGAUAAAAUGUACUCGGGCCACUGACGGGUACCUGCGACCUUCACUCCAGCAUCUCUAGGCCUGGGUGGCAAUUAUUUGGAUGAUUUAUCUGUUUAAAGACUGUCCUUCAGAAGGGGGUUUUCGCAUAGGUCACCAGAGCACAGGCUAGUGCAUGGACUAAUCCCCCACCACACAGCGCUAUGUACACUCCUGCCUUAAGCCCCAUGAAUAACCCAGCUGUCCCCCAUGCCAUGUAUAUCCUGAUUUGAGUCCUGCGUGUGCGUACCAGUGCCUGGUUGUUCCUGAGCGGAGUGGAGCUUCUCCUGCACAGCCUCGUGUGCUGAGCCAUCUAGUAGGUCGAAGAUUGAGUCUCCUUGGGCUAGCAGCUCCACCUGUUAGGAAGAGCAAAAAAGAGACUUUAUUAGUAUAGACACAGACUGGCUCACACUGGGCCUGGUGCCGCUGGGGUACUUAUUUAUGUAUCACAUAUCUAAUACCAUGGUCACAGCCAAGAUUAGAACUCUAGAGCUCCUGUCUCCCAGUCCUGUCCUUGGGCCACUAGACCAUGGGCACAGUGGUUUUGAAUGCCCUGUAAGAAGUGGACAGAGGAGCAGAGAUCUCAGCGGGAAGCUAUUUCAAGACUUCAUGUGAGAGAGGAUCAGAGCAUGGGCCAGACUUUCAGCAGCAGACAACGUCUCGUUAAUAAUGUUCUCUAGAGCAUAUGCUACGAAGCAA